RNAcentral lists this ribosomal RNA (575 nucleotides) under Trigonopterus volcanorum. RNAcentral describes it as "SSU rRNA". It matches the Rfam family "Eukaryotic small subunit ribosomal RNA", at positions 26 to 579 of the family's 1831-position model. The record is from RNAcentral. Lineage: Eukaryota; Metazoa; Arthropoda; Insecta; Coleoptera; Curculionidae.
AUAUGCUUGUCUCAAAGAUUAAGCCAUGCAUGUCUCAGUACAAGCCAAAUUAAGGUGAAACCGCGAAAGGCUCAUUAAAUCAGUUAUGGUUCCUUAGAUCGUACCCACAAUUACUUGGAUAACUGUGGUAAUUCUAGAGCUAAUACAUGCAAACAGAGCUCCGACCGGAGACGGAAGGAGUGCUUUUAUUAGAUCAAAACCAAUCGGUGGCGGGUUCGCUCGUUAUCGUACAACUUGGUGACUCUGAAUAACUUUACGCUGAUCGCACGGUCAUCGCACCGGCGACGCAUCUUUCAAAUGUCUGCCUUAUCAACUGUCGAUGGUAGGUUCUGCGCCUACCAUGGUUGUAACGGGUAACGGGGAAUCAGGGUUCGAUUCCGGAGAGGGAGCCUGAGAAACGGCUACCACAUCCAAGGAAGGCAGCAGGCGCGCAAAUUACCCACUCCCGGCACGGGGAGGUAGUGACGAAAAAUAACGAUACGGGACUCAUCCGAGGCCCCGUAAUCGGAAUGAGUACACUCUAAACCCUUUAACGAGGAUCAAUUGGAGGGCAAGUCUGGUGCCAGCAGCCGCGG